GGAGAGGUGUCCGAGUGGCUUAAGGAGCACGCCUGGAAAGCGUGUAUACGUUAAUAGCGUAUCGAGGGUUCGAAUCCCUCCCUCUCCGCCA
Molecule: transfer RNA, 91 nt
Filed under: Halomonadaceae bacterium
Lineage: Bacteria; Pseudomonadati; Pseudomonadota; Gammaproteobacteria; Oceanospirillales; Halomonadaceae
Also listed under: 1 other name
Description: tRNA-Ser
Rfam family: tRNA
About the family: Transfer RNA (tRNA) molecules are approximately 80 nucleotides in length.
Source: RNAcentral